AUAAAAGAGGUCACAGGAUCGCUGUAUUCAUAGUUUUCUUGGCUAAUGAUGCGUACGAGAUCUCGCAUCCUUCUUUGAUAAGAUUGCCUAGGGUUACGAGGUUUUUGAUUUGCAUUAUUUUGGUUAGUAACAACAGCGACAGUCAAAUAUCUUAAUAGCCAGGGACAAGAGGUUUGGAUGGUGUUGAGAUAAGGAGUAUAGAAGAACAAAUCACAAAGAGUAUCACAACCAUUUGCAUGAUUAAACAAAGGAAACAAGGACCAGUGGAGGAGCCAAGUUCGAUUUCUCAAUUGAACAGCAGAAUCUUUAAAGCUUUUGGAGUCCACCAUUUCGCGAAGUUUUCCCAAUUCCUCCAUAGCCCCAUCCCAAUCAACAGUCAAAAUUUCAGAAGCAAAUUUACCCCAGGUCGCGGAGGCGUUUAAUUCAGGGUCUUUACUGAAGGCACGAAAAUGAUAAAGUAAAUCUGAUGCACCACCGUAGUUUCCACAAUUAUAUUGAAAUUGAGCA
This is a non-coding RNA of Schizosaccharomyces pombe (fission yeast), 507 nucleotides long. The record is from the annotation of a GenBank genome assembly. Lineage: Eukaryota; Fungi; Ascomycota; Schizosaccharomycetes; Schizosaccharomycetales; Schizosaccharomycetaceae.